This 253-nucleotide ribosomal RNA is filed under the name uncultured bacterium. RNAcentral describes it as "partial 16S ribosomal RNA". It matches the Rfam family "Bacterial small subunit ribosomal RNA", at positions 524 to 776 of the family's 1533-position model. The record is from RNAcentral.
UACGGAGGGGGCAAGCGUUGUUCGGAAUCACUGGGCUUAAAGGGCGCGUAGGCGGGUGCUCAAGUCCGUGGUGAAAUCCUCCGGCUCAACCGGAGAACUGCCAUGGAUACUGGGUGUCUCGAGGGUGAUAGGGGUAUGCGGAACUAUCGGUGGAGCGGUGAAAUGCGUUGAUAUCGAUAGGAACUCCGGUGGCGAAGGCGGCAUACUGGAUCACAUCUGACGCUGAGGCGCGAAAGCCAGGGGAGCAAACGGG